GGAUCAUAUAAUCGCGUGGAUAUGGCACGCAAGUUUCUACCGGGCACCGUAAAUGUCCGACUAUGGUC
Molecule: unclassified non-coding RNA, 68 nt
Filed under: Bacillus subtilis
Lineage: Bacteria; Bacillati; Bacillota; Bacilli; Caryophanales; Bacillaceae
Description: xpt from Bacillus subtilis (PDB 1Y27, chain X)
Rfam family: Purine riboswitch aptamer
About the family: Riboswitches are metabolite binding domains within certain messenger RNAs that serve as precision sensors for their corresponding targets. Allosteric rearrangement of mRNA structure is mediated by ligand binding, and this results in modulation of gene expression.
Source: RNAcentral